UCAGUUCGGAUUGGAGUCUGCAACCCGACUCCAUGAAGCUGGAUUCGCUAGUAAUCGCGCAUCAGCCACGGCGCGGUGAAUACGUUCCCGGGCCUUGUACACACCCGCCCGUCAAGCCAUGGAAGCCGGGGGUGCCUGAAGUGUGCAACCGCAAGGAGCGCCCUAAGGUAAAACUGGUGACUGGGGCUAAGUCGUAACAAGGUAGC
Molecule: ribosomal RNA, 206 nt
Filed under: uncultured bacterium
Lineage: Bacteria
Description: partial 16S ribosomal RNA
Rfam family: Bacterial small subunit ribosomal RNA
Source: RNAcentral